CAUUUUCUUUUCUAAUGUAACUUGAAACUGUUUAUUUUUAUUGUGAUUCUAAUUAUUAAUUUAAUCUAUCAAAGUAAUUAAUCAACCUCUGGAUUGUGAAGAUAAUUAAGUUUGUAAAAUGUUGAUUAAAAUGAUCAAUUUACUGUUGAAUUGAUUAGAUUGAUUGUUUGUUUGGAUUUUUUUUUGCUCUUUUGUUGGAUUAACAAGGAAACCGGUUAAAUCAUAUGGACAUUGUUUUUGUUUAUUCUUAAUUGUGAUUUGGGUUAAUUGCUGUUACUUUCAUCUUAAUUACCUGUUGUGCAUUUUUAUUGGAAUCAGAUGAUUUUGUGUCUUAUUACCUGUGAUUAAUUUUCGGUUGUUAACAGAAUUGGUAAAUUACCUAUAGUGAUAAUCAAAUUGACGGUAGAUUGUGAUGGUUAAUUUUUUAUUGGUUUAACUGCGAUUAAAUUAACCAUAAAUUGUGAAGUAAACAAUUAUAAAUCUCAAAUCUUACCAAGAUGAAUUGUUAUAGUAACGGUUAAUAUAAAAGAUCAAUAAACUCGGAGACAAUUAAAGAUGGAUCAUAACCACGAGGUAAAAAGAUGAUCACUUGGAUUUAUUAUGAGGCAGAUUCGUGUGGGUUGAAAAAUUUUUCAAUUGAUUUAAACACAAUUAAAUAUAUUCGGAUUGUGAAGUAAAAAAAAAGACAUUUACUCUCUCAAUGAACAAUCAAAAUUAAUUGUGAUUAAAUUUGACAGAUGAGGAAAGUAUCGCCAUCUGUUAACAAUAAUUGUAAAAGAAAACUCGUUACCAUGGAAACUGGUGGAUAAACAGACUAAUGGAAAAAGAUUCAAUUUUUUUGACAACUUUUGGUUCCUUUGAUCAAUGUUAAUUUGAAGUUUUUCUAUGGAUUUGAGUUUUGUUAAUGUUAAUCAACUAUCAGAAAGAAAUUGAGAGUCAGGAUUAUUUGGCCGUUGCCUCAAUUGAAAGUGUUCUUAAAAAGUGAACCCCAACUAAUGGGAUCAUCUAUGAAAAGAUCUGGACACUGAUCGAUACUCAAAUUUCUUGGUGAUUGAAAACGUAAAUCAUUUCUCUACCAUAGAAUAUUCAACUUAUGGUCCAAGAUUUCUAUUUGAUUUGGUCUUAAAAGUCCAAAACUAAGCUAAAACUAAAAGAGCUUUGGAAACCGAUUAAUAACAAUCAAAAACGAACAAUCGAAUGUUAUUAACAAGAACUUCGUUGAUCCGUUUCAAUCGAAAGUCAAUUUAUUAAUAGAUGCGAAUUUAAGUGUCUUUCUUUAUCAGAAUUUAACAGGAAUUAUUUACAAAUGGUUAAUUUAUGGAGCUAAAACUCUUGAUUGGACUCGCCAGGGAGGGAAGGAAAAUACUAUGGAAUUUUUCUUAUUCUUGUAAUGGUUGCCAAGAAUUCGGUGUUGGAAUCAGUUA
This is a long non-coding RNA of Panonychus citri (citrus red mite), 1424 nucleotides long. RefSeq lists it as uncharacterized. The record is from RefSeq and is a predicted model, not a curated record. The transcript has 3 exons. NCBI's taxonomy places the organism in Eukaryota, Metazoa, Arthropoda, Arachnida, Trombidiformes, Tetranychidae.